CAAUCGGCCCUUUUCAGGGCCACCGAAAUUUUCAAAUUCUUCUCCU
Trichomalopsis sarcophagae is the source of this 46-nucleotide regulatory RNA element. It matches the Rfam family "Histone 3' UTR stem-loop". Rfam says of the family: The mRNAs of metazoan histone genes lack a poly-A tail. 3' end processing occurs at a site between a highly conserved stem-loop (modelled by this family) and a purine rich region around 20 nts downstream (the histone downstream element, or HDE). NCBI's taxonomy places the organism in Eukaryota, Metazoa, Arthropoda, Insecta, Hymenoptera, Pteromalidae. The record is from Rfam.